CCCCACUGAGCUGCACCCAUAAAACAUUUUAAAUGAAUGUUUCUGAUGGCAAGUUAAUAUGCAGCACUCUAACAAAAGUUGUUUUGAGCUAGACAGUUUUAUAACAAACUUUACUUCCUUUUCACUAGCCUCAGAUUUUUCGUUUUCUGCACCAGGGGACUGGAGUCAAGGGAUAAAGCCAAGUCAGGACCAAACUAAGAGGCAAGGCUGAAGAGCAAGCUAUAAAUCAGGACCAGAGGAGGACAAAAGGAGACAGGAAUGCACCAAAGCUCAUCAAGACUCUAUUGCUCAGGCAAGGCUCAACUGGAACAGAAAGACAACUUCUACUCCUUCCUGUCCAGGAAGAUCCAAUGGCUAGCUUUGGAAGGAAGAGUCUGACAAAGUUGGGAGUUGCCAACCUGGUGCCCAUAAGCAGCACAGUGACUGCGAAGACCUUUAUUGGUGCCCCACCUCCCCACGGAGCUCUUCCAUCCGGUAAAAGGGGAAUUGGACAUUUCAGGGCGUAUUGGCUUCCCGUGUACACCAACGGCCCUGGGAGGGGGUGGUGUGGGGGUAAUAAUUUGUUAUUAUUUUUAUCAUAACCCUAAUUUAUUAUUUAUAC
Non-coding RNA from Podarcis lilfordi (Lilford's wall lizard), 601 nucleotides. Lineage: Eukaryota; Metazoa; Chordata; Lepidosauria; Squamata; Lacertidae. The record is from the annotation of a GenBank genome assembly.